RNAcentral lists this ribosomal RNA (484 nucleotides) under uncultured bacterium. RNAcentral's name for it is "partial 16S ribosomal RNA". It matches the Rfam family "Bacterial small subunit ribosomal RNA", at positions 30 to 507 of the family's 1533-position model. The record is from RNAcentral.
AUUGAACGCUGGCGGCAGGCCUAACACAUGCAAGUCGAGCGGAUGAAGGGAGCUUGCUCCUGGAUUCAGCGGCGGACGGGUGAGUAAUGCCUAGGAAUCUGCCUGGUAGUGGGGGAUAACGUCCGGAAACGGGCGCUAAUACCGCAUACGUCCUGAGGGAGAAAGUGGGGGAUCUUCGGACCUCACGCUAUCAGAUGAGCCUAGGUCGGAUUAGCUAGUUGGUGGGGUAAAGGCCUACCAAGGCGACGAUCCGUAACUGGUCUGAGAGGAUGAUCAGUCACACUGGAACUGAGACACGGUCCAGACUCCUACGGGAGGCAGCAGUGGGGAAUAUUGGACAAUGGGCGAAAGCCUGAUCCAGCCAUGCCGCGUGUGUGAAGAAGGUCUUCGGAUUGGAAAGCACUUUAAGUUGGGAGGAAGGGCAGUAAGUUAAUACCUUGCUGUUUUGACGUUACCGACAGAAUAAGCACCGGCUAACUUCGUG